RNAcentral lists this ribosomal RNA (484 nucleotides) under uncultured bacterium. RNAcentral's name for it is "partial 16S ribosomal RNA". The stretch from base 20 to 324 matches the Rfam family "Bacterial small subunit ribosomal RNA", at positions 47 to 358 of the family's 1533-position model. The record is from RNAcentral.
AUUGAACGCUGGCGGCAGGCCUAACACAUGCAAGUCGAGCGGAUGAAGGGAGCUUGCUCCUGGAUUCAGCGGCGGACGGGUGAGUAAUGCCUAGGAAUCUGCCUGGUAGUGGGGGAUAACGUCCGGAAACGGGCGCUAAUACCGCAUACGUCCUGAGGGAGAAAGUGGGGGAUCUUCGGACCUCACGCUAUCAGAUGAGCCUAGGUCGGAUUAGCUAGUUGGUGGGGUAAAGGCCUACCAAGGCGACGAUCCGUAACUGGUCUGAGAGGAUGAUCAGUCACAGGGGAAAGGAAACAGGGCAAGAACUAAGGGGGGGGAAGAAAGGGGGAAAUGGGGAAGAAGGGGAGAAGUCGGGACCAAGACGGGCGGGGGGUGGAAGAAGGGUUUUGGAAUGUAAAAGAAUUUAAAGGGGGGAGAAAGGGAAAAAAGUAAAUACUUUGCUGUUUUAACGUAACAAAAAAAAAAAAACCCGGAAACCUUGGAC